CGCUGGCGGCGUGCUUAACACAUGCAAGUCGAGGGUAGCAAUACACUGGCGCAAGGGUGCGUAACGCGUAGAUUAUCUGCCCCAUACACUAACAUAACGCUUGGAAACGGGUGCUAAUAUUAGAUGAGGUGCUUCGGCAUCAAAGUUUCGACGGUAUGGGAUGAGUCUGCGUCUGAUUAGCUAGUUGGUAGUGUAAUGGACUACCAAGGCGACGAUCAGUAGCUGGUCUGAGAGGACGAUCAGCCACACUGGAACUGAGACACGGUCCAGACUCCUACGGGAGGCAGCAGUGAGGAAUUUUGCGCAAUGGACGAAAGUCUGACGCAGCGACGCCGCGUGUGGGAUGAAGGGGCUACGCCCUGUAAACCACUGUUAGAUGUGAAAAAAAGAUGGCUUUGCCGUCCGGGAUUGUAACAUCAAAGAAAGGACCGGCUAACUACGUG
Molecule: ribosomal RNA, 443 nt
Filed under: uncultured bacterium
Lineage: Bacteria
Description: bacterial SSU rRNA
Rfam family: Bacterial small subunit ribosomal RNA
Source: RNAcentral